This 300-nucleotide unclassified non-coding RNA is filed under the name uncultured fungus. RNAcentral's name for it is "sequence contains 5.8S rRNA gene, ITS2". The stretch from base 1 to 67 matches the Rfam family "5.8S ribosomal RNA", at positions 84 to 154 of the family's 154-position model. Lineage: Eukaryota; Fungi. The record is from RNAcentral.
GUGAGUCAUCGAAUCUUUGAACGCACAUUGCACUCUCCUUCGGGAGAGUAUGCCUGUUUGAGAAUCUAUAGUAUUUAUUCUAAACCUUUAUUGGUUAAGAGAUUUGAGACUUCCAUGUUGAUGGUGUCUUUAAAACUAUUGCUAGGCGACUUGUAUGAAUGUUUGACACUCAGUUAAGUUGGUACGAAAAGUAUUUGAAUAGGACUUUUGUUCUUUCCCUUGCUUAGUAGGCUUCUGUUGAGGAUAGUUUAUAUAAGGCGAAUGGUCCAUAAAUUAUAGGGAGGAUCUUUUGAUUUUCCU